GUGAAUUUUAGGGUGCUCUACUUCGCGUAGAGGCCUGACCUCCACUCUCCAACACUGUGCACUAUUCGGCUUGAUUAGGAAAAUGAAAAGGGACUUUCGAGUUCUUUUGAAAAUGAAUAAUCAGGCGGCUUCAUUUUAAACACUAGUUAAAGAAUGUAACCAAAAACAAAACUAAA
This 176-nucleotide unclassified non-coding RNA is filed under the name Pseudohyphozyma buffonii. Its description in RNAcentral is "ITS 1". Lineage: Eukaryota; Fungi; Basidiomycota; Microbotryomycetes; Chrysozymaceae. The record is from RNAcentral.